RNAcentral lists this ribosomal RNA (253 nucleotides) under uncultured bacterium. RNAcentral's name for it is "partial 16S ribosomal RNA". It matches the Rfam family "Archaeal small subunit ribosomal RNA", at positions 474 to 727 of the family's 1478-position model. The record is from RNAcentral.
UACCAGCACCCCGAGUGGUCGGGACGUUUAUUGGGCCUAAAGCAUCCGUAGCCGGUUCUACAAGUCUUCCGUUAAAUCCAUCUGCUUAACAGAUGGGCUGCGGAAGAUACUAUAGAGCUAGGAGGCGGGAGAGGCAAGCGGUACUCGAUGGGUAGGGGUAAAAUCCGUUGACCCAUUGAAGACCACCAGUGGCGAAGGCGGCUUGCCAGAACGCGCUCGACGGUGAGGGAUGAAAGCUGGGGGAGCAAACCGG